RNAcentral lists this unclassified non-coding RNA (330 nucleotides) under soil metagenome. RNAcentral describes it as "partial contains 5.8S ribosomal RNA, internal transcribed spacer 2, and large subunit ribosomal RNA". The stretch from base 1 to 120 matches the Rfam family "5.8S ribosomal RNA", at positions 35 to 154 of the family's 154-position model. The record is from RNAcentral.
GAUGAAGAACGUAGCGAAAUGCGAUAAGUAAUGUGAAUUGCAGAAUUCAGUGAAUCAUCGAAUCUUUGAACGCACAUUGCGCCCUCUGGUAUUCCGGGGGGCAUGCCUGUUCGAGCGUCGUUAUAACCACUCAAGCUCUCGCUUGGUAUUGGGGUUCGCGGUUUCGCGGCCCCUAAAAUCAGUGGCGGUGCCUGUCGGCUCUACGCGUAGUAAUACUCCUCGCGAUUGAGUCCGGUAGGUCUACUUGCCAGCAACCCCUAAUUUUUUUAAGGUUGACCUCGGAUCAGGUAGGGAUACCCGCUGAACUUAAGCAUAUCAAUAAGCGGAGGA